GAUUCCUUUGCAGAUGGCUUCCUGCUCGCUUGCAAUUGCAAAACUCCACGGAGGCAAUUACCACGAUUGCAGACAUGGGAAUGUGACAUUAGGAAAGCAUUUCAUGUAUUCUCAGCAUCUGCUGCAAACGGAAACCUCGGGGAGAUGCUGUGGGCAGGACUGGCUCAAAUCAGGUUGGCUGGAAGUUCCCAUCCAGCCUGGACUCGACGUGCAGGUGCUCUCUGAGGGCACAUCCAAAGGGUGACCCAGCUGGUGACCCAGGGGACACGGAUGGCUUGUCCUCUGGUGGUGCUYCAUCCGCUGCCAAAGAAACUGCCCCAGAAAUGAUGAGCCAGUGCUGUUUCACCUCCAUGGAGUUGCAGGCUGACAAAUCAGGAGAUCUGCCUGCCUGAGUUUCAUUUCAAAGGCCUUGUAGAAGCUGAGCUGAGAAGAAGUGGCAAAGGAUGGGAAUUUCUUAAACUGGAUUUGUGACAUCUCAGUUUUGGAGGGGAUGGCACAGCACAUGACAAUAUUUAACCCUUUCCCCACCUCCCCCAGGAUUUUGGGGAGCUCUGCGGGGCCGUGGUUGCGACAACUCUCUUAUGCAACCCCGGCUGCGUCUGCUCACGGCUGCCAGAUUGUGGAAAUCUGCAAAUAAUUGCAAAGUCUGCCAGUUUAAUUGGAUUGUGGUGUAUUUGCACAGAUGGGUGAAGUCUUCCAGGCCAAUAUUUUCCAGAGUGACUGAGCAGUCUCACAGCUUUAAGAUACUCAGYAUGAGAGAACUUUGACGCAAUGGGUUUCCACAUUUCCAGAUUUUUUUAAGAGAAGCACCCCCCAAACUGAAAUAAUCCAAACCAUCAAUCACCCAGAAAUCCCCUGCACGAGACCUUGAGAUGGGGGAAUCUCUCACAGUAGCUUGAUGUAAGCCAAACUAAAUUCAUAAAAAUAAUACAAGACAGCUUAACACGUCAUUUGUUCAGCAGAAAAAUCCAGCGUGAGUGUGGAUGUGUGCAGGCAUUUUUACAGGAAUUAUAAGGAAUAAAUGAACAUYUGUAAAAUAAGAGGAGGAGGAAAAGAAAGGCGUUUUAUUUCAUGUGCGAGAGCCGGCUGUUGUUGUUGUURUUAUUUCUUUUAAUGAGGGACAAAAUGUUACUGUGGAACAUUGUCCCUGUGUGCUCUGGCCCUUUUCCAGGCCCAGAGCUCAGGACUUGCUGGGGAAGAGAAAGCCUUGUACUUGACUUUCUGAAAGAUAGGCUGUUAUCUCUUKUGAGAGGCUGCAAAGGAAAAUAAUCAAAUUAUUUAUUAAUUAAAUAUAAACUCUGUCAAAUUGYUCAGAAGCAACUCGCCCCAGGACCCAAGCUAUAGAUGCCCAAUAUCUGAAUUUCCAAAAGAAAAAAACAGUUUAUCAACAUCAUCAUCAGCUUUUUCUACCACAAAUUUGCAGGGACACAAGGAAGCUGUAGAGGAUGCUGCUGUUCUCACUGAGAGCUCCACUCAAUCACCUGCACAAAAUCUGCCAUUUGUAAGCAGAAAUAAAUGCUUAAACACUGUUAGGAUGUUUAGAGAAGUGGUAAG
Malurus melanocephalus (red-backed fairy wren) is the source of this 1554-nucleotide long non-coding RNA. RefSeq lists it as uncharacterized. Lineage: Eukaryota; Metazoa; Chordata; Aves; Passeriformes; Maluridae. The transcript is spliced from 3 exons. The record is from RefSeq and is a predicted model, not a curated record.